This is a non-coding RNA of Pelobates cultripes (western spadefoot toad), 234 nucleotides long. The record is from the annotation of a GenBank genome assembly. Lineage: Eukaryota; Metazoa; Chordata; Amphibia; Anura; Pelobatidae.
CCAAAAACAAAUAACUUUAGGAGUUAUAUUGUGCCUUUGAUUAACUGUGCAGUUUCUAGUACAAAAAAUUGGGAGGGGCUCAGCUGUCUGUAUCACUCAUUUACACUGAGUCCUAGAAAAAGGAGAAGGGGGACGAGGGGUGUCAAAUCUGCACUUCUUUCUCUGCCUAAUUCCACAAGUCAUUUUAACCCCUUCAUUAUUGGUUUCAUUUCUGAUUUCUCUCCUUAAGUUAUC